AGCAGUCGCCGCGGUAAUACGGAGGGUGCAAGCGUUAAUCGGAAUUACUGGGCGUAAAGCGCACGCAGGCGGUCUGUCAAGUCAGAUGUGAAAUCCCCGGGCUUAACCUGGGAACUGCAUUUGAAACUGGCAGGCUAGAGUCUUGUAGAGGGGGGUAGAAUUCCGGGUGUAGCGGUGAAAUGCGUAGAGAUCUGGAGGAAUACCGGUGGCGAAGGCGGCCCCCUGGACAAAGACUGACGCUCAGGUGCGAAAGCGUGGGGAGCAAACAGGAUUAGAUACCCGCGUAGUCCCUGUCUCUUAUAC
RNAcentral lists this ribosomal RNA (303 nucleotides) under uncultured bacterium. Its description in RNAcentral is "partial 16S ribosomal RNA". It matches the Rfam family "Bacterial small subunit ribosomal RNA", at positions 507 to 807 of the family's 1533-position model. The record is from RNAcentral.